GCUGCGGGUUCGAGCCCCG
This 19-nucleotide transfer RNA is filed under the name Populus wilsonii. RNAcentral's name for it is "partial tRNA-Asx". Lineage: Eukaryota; Viridiplantae; Streptophyta; Magnoliopsida; Malpighiales; Salicaceae. The record is from RNAcentral. RNAcentral also lists the same sequence under 1 other name.